UACAGAGGGUGCAAGCGUUGUUCGGAAUUACUGGGCGUAAAGCGCGUGUAGGCGGCUUGAUAAGUCCUGUGUGAAAGCCCUGGGCUCAACCCAGGAAGUGCGCAGGGUACUGUUGAGCUAAAGUAGCGGAGAGGAUGGCGGAAUACCCGGUGUAGAGGUGAAAUUCGUAGAUAUUAGGAAGAACACCGGUGGCGAAGGCGGCCAUCUGGCUCGGUACUGACGCUCAGGCGCGAAAGCGUGGGGAGCAAACAGG
This 253-nucleotide ribosomal RNA is filed under the name uncultured bacterium. RNAcentral's name for it is "partial 16S ribosomal RNA". It matches the Rfam family "Bacterial small subunit ribosomal RNA", at positions 524 to 776 of the family's 1533-position model. The record is from RNAcentral.